Falco peregrinus (peregrine falcon) is the source of this 6678-nucleotide long non-coding RNA. RefSeq lists it as uncharacterized. The transcript is spliced from 8 exons. The record is from RefSeq and is a predicted model, not a curated record. NCBI's taxonomy places the organism in Eukaryota, Metazoa, Chordata, Aves, Falconiformes, Falconidae.
ACUUUUUAUCACCCUGGGUACACUUUUCUGUAUCUUCUCUAGCUCUCCAGAGUCCAUUUUCAGAGGUAGGGAGUAGAGCUCUGUUCAAUAUUCAACAAGUUUUAUUCUGUAUUCCAACUGUGCCUACCAUUCUGCUGCUUUCAUGAUCUCUUUAUGAUAGUCAGGUUCUCUGAUAACACUGAAAACAGCAUACAAGACAUCACGUUGUCCUGACAAAGAACCAGAUCUUCACAGAUGAAAUCAGGAGAGCUGGAGCACAACAGAGGAACUCUGUACAUAAUUCUGAGCUAUGAAAUGACCAGAGAUGCCAAAGGAUCUGGGCUAGGAACCUCACUUACAUCGAUGCUGCCCCAUUAGCAAGAGGCAAAUCUCUUGAAGUAUUGUCUGGUUAUGACUCUCCUGGAUUCAUUCCGUUCCUUCCUGUUCUUUGGAUUCCAACUUUGUCUUGAGUGAAGUCUUCUGCAAAGAAGGUGUACCUGGAUUACAAGCAGGACUAGUUUGUUAACCAUGUUUAGGAUCCUGCUACCAUUUGAGAAAUAAAAAAAUAAAUACCACCAGAGGGCUCACAAGCUAUUUCAUUUUUGAUGUCAACCGCUGUCUAAACCAAUGAGUGCUGAGGCUUACCUUUCCUGAGAUUCAAUCUCCCAUGUUUUCAACGUUUCUGUGCAGACAUCAAGGUGUCCAGAUACCAAGAUUCCAUCCUGAAGAGAUGAGCCCAGAAGAGGACAGAAGUAAAGGCUGCUAGAGUACAGUGUGUCUGGGUUUGAAUGCAAUGAGUUGACGGCUGCAGCCUAAGGCACUGGUGUGAUUUUGUUUAAACAAACAUAAGCCAAUUAAAAAUACAAAGAGAUUCAACAAAAAGAUGCUCUUAGCUGAAAGCCUCAUGGGAGAAUAAUUUAAAGAACAGAUCAAUAGAAGUGAGAGAGAUUUGUUCCCAUAAGACCAAAAGCCAGCAUGUAACAAAUCUCAAGAAAGGCAUUUAUAGGAUUGUAUUUUGUGAGUGACUGUGGCAUAAAAGAAUAGUGCUUUAGCAUAAUUAUAGUUAAAUAUUUACACAGUCUUAGCUGUUUCCGGGAAAGCAAAUAACCUUGCAAGGAUGGUUUUCUUCUAUUCAAUAUAUCACUGAAAGUGCUUGCUGUGCAUAUCUUUAUUACAAACAUAGUAAUUAUAUAAAUGUGCCUUCAAGGAAAAGGGUAGUUGAGAAUGUUAUCUUAAAAAAAAAAUAAUCACAAAACAAGAACAAUAUAUACUAUUACCUACAGGUUAAAAUAUUCUUCCCCUCAUUUUCCAAGUCAUGGCUUUUGACUUGUAACCUCUUUCUCACUCAAUUACACAUACAAAAAUUCCUAAAAGGUGCUGCAAGAAAACACCAUUUUUAUGAAUGGCCUGAAAUUAUUUACCUGUAUGGUAUUUUUUUAUAUCUCCAACUGUAAUGUGCAAUAUUUUGGGACCUUUCAGGUAUAGAAACAAUAGCGGAUAUUCCAGCUGUCUUGCUCUUUAGACAUCUAGUUCCGAUGUCUCUGUUAAGAGAGUACAUCCUCUAGUUUUGAAAUAUUGUGGGUAGAGAAGGGGAAAUCAUAGGGACCAAAAAUAUUUGUGCACUUAUGUGUCUUGCAGAGGAUGAUUCAGAAUAGCAGUUAAGUUUAGAAAUUAUUUACCCCCCGGAGAAAUUUCUCUCCUGCUUUAUUAAAUGUAUAGGGACAAUAGAGGGAUGGGUAUCUCAUACUGGAUCCUUAUAGUUGAUAAUAUAAAUUUUGCUAUAAACAGACCUUUCAGAAAACAGCAGCUGCAUUUUUUUUUCCCAAGGAUCCAUGGUUUUCUCUCAGGCAUGGGAGAUCUUGAGAGAUUUCUUCUGAGCUAUAACAUUUGUCCAUUUUGCUCAGCAGAAGAUAAUAACUUUGAAGAAAAUACUACAAUUCUUUGUUGAGAUUGGAAUGAGGAGACUGUUUCUGUAGUAAGAUGACUUCAAAAAUGAGGCAUACACCAGAUCCUUGGUGUACGUCUGUUUGGUUCCACUGCUUAGCUAUUUAUUCAUUAAAUCAAUGGUAAACAUUGCUUACAUCUGCUGAGAAAUGACCCAUUGUUUUACACUGCUCAGAGGGUAAAGUGGGACAAAGGUUAGUAAUGCAGUGCAGCUGUUAUAGAAAAAGGCAAAUAACUUCAUUACGUUUUUGUGUUUACCAUAACCAUAUGGGUUCCAGAAAGCAUAUUUCUACUGUGUACAUGGUUUAAACUCUCAUAGGUAACUUAAACAUCCUAAUGACAUAGUUUGAGUCCCAACUCAUUUAUCCCAGUCCUGGAGACACCAAAUUAACUUGGUAGUGACAAGUUAACUGAUUUCCAGUUUUAGUAGCUGCUAAGACCAUAUUCUAGCAGGGACUGUGUGCUCUUGAGUGUGUCUUGCUCUAUCAGCAGGCUUGAACUUGAGGAUGCCGCUUGAUGUUAGAUGAAUAAUAUUACAGUGCUGCUGCCAGGUGCUUGUAAACCCACAGGGUAUUUGGUGACUAGCAAGUUUUCAUGUUAUGGAUAUGCUACCUAUACAUAUUAUGUAACUCAAUUUUGGACAUAUAUAUACACAUAACACAUGCAUAAAUGUGUUUCUUAAAUGUAACAUGUAUUGCAAAACAUUGAGAAAUCCUUUUUUCAUUCCCUCUGAAGCAUUCACUGGAAGGUCUAAACAUAAGUUUCUAAUGAAAGCUAAGAAUGUGGCUUUACCUCAGGUGUUUUCUGCUUGUCUUUCAGGUUAUUGAUGUUUGUGGUCAGGAUUUCUCUAAUGACUCAUGACACAGGUGCAAAUGUCAUUAAGAAAAGUUUCUAUUUGAGAAUGAAAGCAUGGAAAGUUUUCAAUCUCCAUAUAUAAACACCUACAAAACAAAAGAGAGCGGGAAAGGAGAGAAAAGAAGGAAAUCCACAUAAAAUAUGCAAUUCCAUUUGCUGAAAAUAAGUAGCAGGACCAGGAAGAAUAAGAACAAUAAAAUAAAAAUAUUUAUUAGCUUUGUAAAAUGUGCAUGAUGUUACAAAAACAAGAUAGCAAAGUUUAGCAGAAUGAUGGAAAUUUAACUAAGACAUAAGAUGUUAUAGGAGAGGAUUUUUUCAUACAGUAUAGUUACAGGAAGCAUGUCUGUUUCCAAGAGCUUUCUGCUGGACUUGAAGGAAGCCAACUGAGGUCUUCAGUGGCUUUUCACCAGACCUCAAAUAAGGCCGCAUGUUUAUGCCACUGGGCUGCAUUUGACUUACCACUUACAAAAUGACGGAGCAAAUAUCCUUUAGAAAAAGACAUGCUUUCCAUUUUCACAAUGUAGAAGUCAAACGUACUUUAAUAGUACUUAUCAGAAGGCGACCCCCAAAAUAUAAAAAUCUGGAUAAAAAUAUAGGAUUUGCAGUACACUAUUUUUAUCCAUAUAAUCAAUAUAAAUAUUUUUAUCCAUAGAAUUAUAAAAAAAUCAAACAACAGUGAAACUAAUAAAUUUGCUCAGUUCCAGAGUAUUAGCCUUUUGAAAUUUGUCUGGUACUAUAAUAUUAAUUUGUAUAUUUCUGUACAUACUAACAAGUAUAGAGAAAGCUUUUUGUUAAAGGAAGGUGAUCUGAAUUUAAGUACUAAUAUUAUCCACUAGGCAGUAUUAUUUAAUCACUUACUAUAGAAAAAUGUUUUUGACAGAGGUGUAUUUUAUAGAAGACUUCUAUAGAUUAACCAUAUAAAUAUAUACUAUGAUAGGGAAUUUAUUUCCAUAUUUGCAUUUUUUUGUUUACUUGAAAAUAGAGAUUAUUAUUUUAAUCAGUGUGUUAAAAAAAAAACACAACAGUGUUUAACUGAGACAUAAACGCCUGGAAGUUCUUUUUCUUAGAUUUCCCAUUGUCUUUAGUUUGUGCUUCAGUCAAUAAUUGUUAAUAAAGGGAUAAAUUAAUAGUCUGAGUAAUUGUGUAAAUGUGAUUUUCAGAGAAUGAGUGGGCUUUUUUUGUUGUUUAGAGACAAGAUUAGGCAUCAGAACUCUUCAGUUUCUUUCAUGGGCCACUGAAGUUUACUUCAUGGAAACAGCAAAUUUUGUGGGCAAUGUCUUGAUCUUUCUGAGUCUCAAUUUUUCAAGCUUAGAAAUAGUGACAAUGAUUGUUAAUAUUAUUACAUGUGAUAUUAAUCAAUAUUUCUAGAGUGUUUAAAAUACACUCAGGGUGGGGGGUGACUUGGGAUGAAUGGCAAAAAUUACCUAGACUUUAAAUGAUCAAAAAUGCCUGAGUGUGGGAAAAAGAAUUCAAAUGAUGACAUAAGAAAAUAAAUAAAUUUGACCUUUGGAUAUAUUUCAUACACAACACACAAGAGGUAAAGGUGCAUUUAUUUUUCAUGUGUAGUUCACUUUUCAGUUACAUUCAGGGCUUACUGGAAAUGACUGUGGGGAAUGUGUGUGGGUGAGUACCUCUUCGAAGUAUUUCCUCCUGAAGCGCCAACCCAAAUCAAGACAACGUGUCGUCCCCCCUGCUGCACCUCUCCUGUUGUGAGGGUUGAAGAGUCCAUGCCCUCCACAGUUCUCUCCCCAGUGAGAUUUCUAUUUCUUGAUUUGGAUAUUAAUACACUGUGAAUGUGGUUCCAUACGUUUUCCCACAUUUCUCUUUCACUGCAGGUUAAAGGCGUGUCCAGGUUUGGCCUUUCGGAGCAAGUUAUGACUCCACUAUCUAUUCAUGUGGACUCUUAAAUUAAAAAUUGAUUGCGCUACUUCUGUUCUUUGUUUUCUUCCAAGGAAUGACAACCUAAGAGGAGGUAACCUGAAGAGCAGACACCCGGAAAGUAAAACAACAAAGUAUGCUGUGUGUAUGAUAGGCUUUACUGUCUCCACAUUAUAGAGAUGUAACUACUAAAAUGAAGUCUGACAUUGUUUUUCUCACGGCUGAGUGAGUGGCAGACCCUGGGGAGAAUGUAUUAGAGUUUUCAUCUUGUAACUUAACUUCUCCUUUUGUUGUUCUGCAUAAUUGCUGUCACCCAGGUAAAGCUGGAUUGUUUCUUCCAUGGCAAAUUCUCUCCCACACAACCCUUUGACCUUCAGGCAGCAAGAGCAGCAGGGUUUCUCAUCUUGUGAUUUAAAGGAAGAAAAUAAGUACUUGAAGAGGAAGUGCUUUGAAAUAAACAAUGUCUCUGAAUCAGAAAACUAAAUAACUGGGGGUUUACCACAAACUGGGACUCCGGGGAAUAUUUGCCUGGAAUUAACAAAAGAUACUGAAAGAACUAAGGUGAUUAAUCAUGUGAAGAAUUUAGGCAGAAAUAUGAGUACAGCUGGGACAAUUGCUUAAUUAUGAGUAGAUUUCUGAUAAAUGUAAAAGCAGCUCAUGUCAACAGACAUUAGAAUGACUUAUGAGCUCAUAUAUGAGCUCAUACUAGUUGUCCAAUUCCUUGACAUUAAAAAGUCCAGGAUAUUUUUAAAAUGCUGAGAGCAGUGAGGUAAUUGCCUUUAACAAUGCAAGUAUGGAAAAAAUGUGUCCAAUUGAUCAUGAGCUAUCUUAUAAAAGAGUGUUUUUCUGAUUGUUGUUCUGAAAGCUUUUACAUCAGCCAAGAGGUUGAGCACAUUUUCUUGGCAAAAAAUCCUGUAAAUCAUCCUCUCCAAUCUUUUUUUCAGCUUCUGAGAGGAAAAAACAAUCUGAUUUUCACUGAGGAAGUAUAUUUGCCUUAAAAUCUUCACAGAAAAGACCAAUGCAUAUUAAGUCAUUGUGGUGCCAAUCUGUUAAUUUGAUCUGAUUUUUUGCUGUAUUAAUUUGGUGAUUUAAUCAUUCAAUCCAUUGGUAUAUUGAUUCAAUUUUAGUGGAGACCUGAAUUUAAUUAUUGCAUUAUUCUAGUUUUAAUUAGCAAAGUAAAAUUGUAGUUUAUUAGUUCAGUAAUUGUCGCAUAUUGCUCGUCUUUGCUGAAGUGUCUGUCUGACAUUCAAUUCUUUCUUAGAAAUCUGUAAAGUUUCAAAGAACUUAUUUUUUCAAAAUACUGUGUUAGUAAAAAAAUAAUGAAAGGACUCAUAAUCAGGAAAACUUGCAAGCCUUUUUGACUUGCAUGAUCACAUUUAAAUCACUUGCUCUAUAGAACGUUUUUUGUCUUUUUUUCAGGACACAGGGAAAAUGUGUUUCAAGCAGAUACAUAUGUAACUACAGAGAGAAAUAAAAUAUAGCUUAUUCUUUAGAAAGUUAAAAAAUUACUGAAAUAUUUUAGUGACAUGCAUAAACCAAAUAUUUUGCCAGAGUACCAGCUUUUACAGCCAUAGAUGUCUCAGUUUUCCAAUUUUUUUCACUACUGUUGUAGGUUAGCGGUGUGCCUUCAAGUCAUAUGACCUUAAGGACAAUAAAGGCGCUGACUUCUGCUAAACUACCUGGGUAAAGACCUCUGGUUAUAUUGGAUAUUGCCUUGAAACACAGCCUUUGGGAAAUGAGCUAGCCCAGUGCAAAGUGCAGUCAAACUGAUCAUUGUAUAAAAUAUCUCAAGUGAAAUACCUAGUUCUGUGAUUCAUAGGAGCUUAUAAUCACUUUCCUCUAUGCUGUUAUUACAGUUUUCUUGUUGUCUGAUUUGCAUUUUGAUGAAUCACCACUGCUGUGUAUUAAGUGAUGUACAAACACAUGUUAUUAAAGUACAUCUUUCAGGACCAAUGGUCCACCAGAGCUAUAUAAGACAAUGCAAUGUGUAUUAGCUGAAUAAAGACAGAUGGCAUCAACUUA